UCCUGAUGGGCUGAUUAGGAUUGUGAGAAUACCGAUGAUGUAAUCGUUUUAAAUGGGAAGACUAGAAUCUUUCAACAGUCAAAUUGAGACAACCAAGUUCUGUGUGCAACCCUUGACCACUUCUCUGGAUUAUUGAUACCAUUAUGAUGUAUUUGUAACUGUAAUAAAUGAAUAAAUAAAUAAAUUAGCGCUUUCAAAUGGCUAAAGUA
Molecule: long non-coding RNA, 209 nt
Organism: Fopius arisanus
Lineage: Eukaryota; Metazoa; Arthropoda; Insecta; Hymenoptera; Braconidae
Exons: 2
Source: RefSeq, a predicted model, not a curated record